GGACUACACGGGUAUCUAAUCCCGUUUGCUCCCCUGGCUUUCGCGCCUCAGCGUCAGUAGAGAUCCAGCAGGUCGCUUUCGCCACCGGCGUUCCUUCCGAUAUCUACGCAUUUCACCGCUCCACCGGAAGUUCCACCUGCCCCUACCUCCCUCUAGCUCGCCAGUAUCAGGGGCACUUUUCCGGUUGAGCCGAAAGAUUUCACCCCUGACUUGGCAAGCCGCCUACGCGCCCUUUAAGCCCAGUGAAUCCGAACAACGUUCGCACGGUUCGUCUUACCGCGGCUGCUGGCAC
Molecule: ribosomal RNA, 292 nt
Filed under: uncultured bacterium
Lineage: Bacteria
Also listed under: 1 other name
Description: partial 16S ribosomal RNA
Source: RNAcentral